Molecule: non-coding RNA, 449 nt
Organism: Phascolarctos cinereus (koala)
Lineage: Eukaryota; Metazoa; Chordata; Mammalia; Diprotodontia; Phascolarctidae
Source: RefSeq, a predicted model, not a curated record
AGAAAUAAAGAAAUAGCAUAAUGUACAUGGCAUUUUGUUUACAAUAUAUUCGAUGAGCUGAGCUGAUUAUUUCUGGAUGUAAUGUGGUACAUGAGCAUUACCGUAAUUACUUUUGGCAAUGGCAUUAUCUUCUUCAGACUUAAGAAGUGUCCAUCCAGGGACCUACUCAAUCCACAAGAGUGAGCCAGUGAAGAGGAAUCAGAUUUAGGGACCCUGCUUCUAAAAAACUGGAAGAUGUAACCAUUAAAUAAGAAGAGGUUCUUUAAAGAGCUGGAGAGUUGCAGAAGAAAUGAGCUAGGUUGAUUUGGUUCAAUGAGCUACUGAUUUAAAGGGAAGCUGGUCUGCAUAAAAGAUAGGUUGAGGACAGGCAGGUGAAAUAACUGAACAGGUGAAGGGGCAGAGAAUGACAAUAGUUGGACAUACAUAUUAAACCUUUUCCUUAUUCUAAG